CACCCAACUUAGGCAACUGCAG
RNAcentral lists this microRNA (22 nucleotides) under Cordylochernes scorpioides. Lineage: Eukaryota; Metazoa; Arthropoda; Arachnida; Pseudoscorpiones; Chernetidae. The record is from RNAcentral.